UACGUAGGGGGCAAGCGUUGUCCGGAAUUAUUGGGCGUAAAGCGCGUGUAGGCGGCCCGAUAAGUCUGCCGUGAAAGUCCAGGGCUCAACCCUGGGAUGCCGGUGGAAACUGUCGGGCUAGAGUCCGGAAGAGGCGAGUGGAAUUCCUGGUGUAGCGGUGAAAUGCGCAGAUAUCAGGAGGAACACCUAUGGCGAAGGCAGCUCGCUGGGACGGUACUGACGCUGAGACGCGAAAGCGUGGGGAGCAAACAGG
Molecule: ribosomal RNA, 253 nt
Filed under: uncultured bacterium
Lineage: Bacteria
Description: partial 16S ribosomal RNA
Rfam family: Bacterial small subunit ribosomal RNA
Source: RNAcentral